GUUUAAAUAUGGUAAGUGUACAUGGGUUUGCUACUUUUACGGUUUUAAAGUUUAACUGUAUACUGAUGGUGUUUAAAUUCUGUUUUGCUAGGAUGGGACAGUGAUGUGGCAGCUCUUCCCUGGCUCAUUCAUCUCUUGCCUUCAUUUGUGAAAGGAAGAAAGAAUGGAGAGGUUCAAUGUGCAACUGAAGCUACUGAUUGUGCUGUGUGAUGAGCAUCAAUCCAUGCUUUGAGGUGGAUGGAUCAGCACAGCCCUGCCUGCUCUGCGUUGGGAACAGAAGUUGCAUCCAGAAUUUUUGCAUCAUUCUGGACCAAAAAGCCAUUCCCUGCAUGAUGAAGACCACUGAUGCAGCCUCCCACUACAUCAUGAGUAAAACAACUACAGAACUAAAUACCAGGUUGGAACGUAUUUAAGAAAAAUGAAAAGUCUUUGGAAUUGAAAUGUCUGUUUUGUUAUGGAAAAAUCUUUAGUAUUGUGAAGGAUAAGCAUUUCUGCCUGCCAGUAAGUGUAUUUGCAGUGUAUUUGAAUGUUCAAGUUUUGAGUAGGGUGGCUUAUUUUUUUUAACUCUCAUUUGAUUUAUUAAAGACCUUUUAUAAUAAGUGGUUUUCAUGUCACUGCGCUGUGGUAUAAGAUAACUUUCAUUAUUCCAUACUGUAUUCUGUUUCUAAUUGUAGCUGAGGUAUUUAAAUAAGCAGUGUUAAAUGCAAAGUGUUGUGUGUAUCAAUGUAAAUAUUAAAUGUGAUGUACUUUAAUAAAAAGAGGUUUUGCAAUA
This is a non-coding RNA of Misgurnus anguillicaudatus (oriental weatherfish), 772 nucleotides long. NCBI's taxonomy places the organism in Eukaryota, Metazoa, Chordata, Actinopteri, Cypriniformes, Cobitidae. The record is from RefSeq and is a predicted model, not a curated record.